RNAcentral lists this ribosomal RNA (402 nucleotides) under uncultured bacterium. RNAcentral describes it as "bacterial SSU rRNA". It matches the Rfam family "Bacterial small subunit ribosomal RNA", at positions 355 to 773 of the family's 1533-position model. The record is from RNAcentral.
UAGGGAAUAUUGCUUAAUGGGCGAAAGCCUGAAGCAGCAACGCCGCGUGUGUGAAGAAGGCCUUCGGGUUGUAAAACACUUUUUGAGGGGAUGAGGAAGGACAGUACCCUCAGAAUAAGCCUCGGCUAACUACGUGCCAGCAGCCGCGGUAAAACGUAGGAGGCGAGCGUUAUCCGGAUUUACUGGGCGUAAAGCGCGUGUAGGCGGCACGGCAAGUUGGAUGUGAAAGCUCCCGGCUUAACUGGGAGAGGUCGUUCAAAACUGCCGAGCUAGAGUGCGGGAGAGGGAGGUGGAAUUCCGGGUGUAGUGGUGAAAUGCGUAGAUAUCCGGAGGAACACCAGUGGCGAAAGCGGCCUCCUGGCCCGCAACUGACGCUCAGACGCGAAAGCUAGGGUAGCAAAC